GUGAGUUUGAUCUCAGAGCUGAAGCCAGAGCAGCACAACCUUCAGAUGUGAUAUCACAAUCAAACAGUCUGCAGAAAACAAUGACACACUCUCUUAGUUCAGGAACUACACAACUUCACAUAGAGACUGAGAUUUUAAAUAAUAAAUCUGUUUUACAGUGAGGAUCCUUCAGUCCAUCAGAGAGCAGCAUCAGACCUCGACCUCCUAUUUUAUUCUGAGUCAGAUCCAGUUCUCUGAGGUGUGAGUUUGAUCUCAGAGCUGAAGUCAGAGCAGCACAACCUCCAGCUGUGAUAUCACAAUCAAACAACCUGCAGAAAAAAUUGACACACUCUUUUAGUUCAGCAAGAACUACACAACCACAGAGAGACUGAGAUAUUAAAUAAUAAAUCUGUAGGGGCUCAGAGAGGAUAUUCUACUCAAGCUCUGAUUGCCCCAUUACACAGACAAAAUAAUAUACAAAAAGGAGGAGAAAGGGAGGAGGAGGGAUGCCGAAAGAACUAACAAUGAGAAGAGGUAUGAUGCUGGUUUUAAUACCUUAGUAUUAAUUAGAAGAUUAGAUGAGCGACUCCUUCUGAAAUUACGUUAAUAACUUCACUAAUGUAAGUCACUAGGAUUUGAAUAACAUACAACGAAUAAUCCCUUCUCUGUUGUGAUUAAUGUAUGA
Ctenopharyngodon idella (grass carp) is the source of this 664-nucleotide long non-coding RNA. RefSeq lists it as uncharacterized. The transcript has 3 exons. The record is from RefSeq and is a predicted model, not a curated record. Lineage: Eukaryota; Metazoa; Chordata; Actinopteri; Cypriniformes; Xenocyprididae.